This 717-nucleotide ribosomal RNA is filed under the name uncultured fungus. RNAcentral describes it as "SSU rRNA". It matches the Rfam family "Eukaryotic small subunit ribosomal RNA", at positions 329 to 1050 of the family's 1831-position model. The record is from RNAcentral. Lineage: Eukaryota; Fungi.
UAGGAUAGAGGCCUACCAUGGUGGUAACGGGUAACGGGGUGUUAGGGCACGACACCGGAGAGGGAGCCUGAGAAACGGCUACCACAUCCAAGGAUGGCAGCAGGCGCGCAAAUUACCCAAUCCCGACACGGGGAGGUAGUGACAAUAAAUAACAAUACGGGGUUCUUUCGGAUCUCGUAAUUGGAAUGAGUACAAUUUAAAUCUCUUAACGAGGAACAAUUGGAGGGCAAGUCUGGUGCCAGCAGCCGCGGUAAUUCCAGCUCCAAUAGCGUAUAUUAAAGUUGUUGCAGUUAAAAAGCUCGUAGUUGAAUUUCGGGGUUAGUAGGUUGGUCAUGCCUCUGGUAUGUACUGGUCUCACUGAUUCCUCCUUCCUUAUGAACCGUAAUGCCAUUAAUUUGGUGUUGCGGGGAAUUUGGACUGUUACUUUGAAAAAAUUAGAGUGUUUAAAGCAAGCUAACGCUUGAAUACAUUAGCAUGGAAUAAUGAAAUAGGACGUUCGAUCUUAUUUUGUUGGUUUCUAGGAUUGACGUAAUGAUUAAUAGGGAUAGUUGGGGGCAUUAGUAUUCAAUUGUCAGAGGUGAAAUUCUUGGAUUUAUUGAAGACUAACUACUGCGAAAGCAUUUGCCAAGGAUGUUUUCAUUAAUCAAGAACGAAAGUUAGGGGAUCGAAGACGAUCAGAUACCGUCGUAGUCUUAACCAUAAACUAUGCCGACUAGG